This 73-nucleotide transfer RNA is filed under the name Podarcis lilfordi (Lilford's wall lizard). It matches the Rfam family "tRNA". From Rfam's summary of the family: Transfer RNA (tRNA) molecules are approximately 80 nucleotides in length. Their secondary structure includes four short double-helical elements and three loops (D, anti-codon, and T loops). Lineage: Eukaryota; Metazoa; Chordata; Lepidosauria; Squamata; Lacertidae. The record is from Rfam by way of RNAcentral.
AGUCGUACAGCUCAGUCGGUAGAGCAUUAGACUCUCAAUCUCAGGGUCAUGGGUUUGAGUCCCACUUUGGGUG